This 480-nucleotide long non-coding RNA is filed under the name Lynx pardinus (Iberian lynx). The record is from RNAcentral. Lineage: Eukaryota; Metazoa; Chordata; Mammalia; Carnivora; Felidae.
UGGGACAAAUGGCUAGAACGCAGAGUAAUGCCAUCAUUGGGUAUAUAAAUUCAAGACUGAAGAAUUAACAGCCACCCCUCAGAUGGAGAACCAGGUGCAGGGUUGAUCCUUUCUGGGUGCUGUAAUCAGAAAGAGUGCGGCUAUCUUCCAGCAGCUUUGCCUGCAAAAAGGUGAGCCUCUGCUGGUCAGGGCAGAUCCCUUCUUUAUCUUGGAUCUUAGCUUUCACAUUCUCAAUGGUGUCACUGGGCUCCACCUCCAGAGUGAUGGUCUUGCCAGUCAGGGUCUUCGCAAACAUCUGCAUACCACGCCUCAGAUGCAGGGCAGGGUACAGGGUCGACCCUUUCAGGAUAUUGUAAUCAAAAAGAGCCUGGUCAUCUUCCAGAUGCUUGCCUGCAAUAAUGAGCCUCUUUAUCCUGGAUCUUUUUCUAUGGUGUCACUGGAUUCCACUUCCAAGGCAAUAGUCUUGCCGGUCAAAGUCUU